Molecule: ribosomal RNA, 460 nt
Filed under: uncultured bacterium
Lineage: Bacteria
Description: partial 16S ribosomal RNA
Rfam family: Bacterial small subunit ribosomal RNA
Source: RNAcentral
CCUACGGGAGGCAGCAGUGAGGAAUAUUGGUCAAUGGGCGUAAGCCUGAACCAGCCAAGUCGCGUGAGGGAUGACGGUUCUAUGGAUUGUAAACCUCUUUUAUAAGGGAAUAAAGUGUGGGACGUGUCCUAUUUUGUAUGUACCUUAUGAAUAAGGAUCGGCUAACUCCGUGCCAGCAGCCGCGGUAAUACGGAGGAUCCGAGCGUUAUCCGGAUUUAUUGGGUUUAAAGGGUGCGUAGGCGGGAUUGUAAGUCAGCGGUGAAAGUUCGGGGCUCAACCACGGAAGUGCCGUUGAAAUUGGGGGUCGUGAGUGUGUUAGAGGCAGGCGGAAUGCGUGGUGUAGCGGUGAAAUGCUUAGAUAUCACGCAGAACCCCGAUUGCGAAGGCAGCCUGCCGGGCCAUAACUGACGCUGAUGCACGAAAGCGUGGGUAUCAAACAGGAUUAGAUACCCCUGUAGUC